AUUGAACGCUGGCGGCAGGCCUAACACAUGCAAGUCGAGCGAGCGGCGGACGGGUGAGCAAUGUAUGGGGAUCUGCCCGAUAGAGGGGGAUAACUACUGGACACGGUGGCUAAUACCGCAUACUAUAGGAUGAACCCAUAUGGGAUUAGCGAGUAGGGGGGGUAAAGGCUCACCUAGGCGACGAUCUCUAGUUGGUCGGAGAGGAUGAACAGCCACACUGGGACUGAGACACGGCCCAGACUCCUACGGGAGGCAGCAGUGGGGAAUAUUGCACAAUGGGCGAAAGCCUGAUGCAGCCAUGCCGCGUGUAUGAAGAAGGCCUUAGGGUUGUAAAGCACUUUCAGCGGGGAGGCGUUACCCGCAGAAGAAGCACCGGCUAACUCCGUGCCAGCAGCCGCGGUAAUUC
RNAcentral lists this ribosomal RNA (406 nucleotides) under uncultured bacterium. RNAcentral's name for it is "partial 16S ribosomal RNA". It matches the Rfam family "Bacterial small subunit ribosomal RNA", at positions 29 to 526 of the family's 1533-position model. The record is from RNAcentral.